GAUCAUGGCUCAGGAUGAACGCUAGCUACAGGCUUAACACAUGCAAGUCGAGGGGCAGCAUGAUUGAAGCUUGCUUCAAUCGAUGGCGACCGGCGCACGGGUGAGUAACACGUAUCCAACCGUGCCGAUAACUCGGGGAUAGCCUUUCGAAAGAAAGAUUAAUACCCGAUAGUAUAGUAUUUCCGCAUGGUUUCACUAUUAAAGAAUUUCGGUUAUCGAUGGGGAUGCGUUCCAUUAGA
RNAcentral lists this ribosomal RNA (239 nucleotides) under uncultured bacterium. RNAcentral's name for it is "partial 16S ribosomal RNA". It matches the Rfam family "Bacterial small subunit ribosomal RNA", at positions 15 to 245 of the family's 1533-position model. The record is from RNAcentral.